Molecule: long non-coding RNA, 678 nt
Filed under: Triticum aestivum (bread wheat)
Lineage: Eukaryota; Viridiplantae; Streptophyta; Magnoliopsida; Poales; Poaceae
Description: long non-coding RNA (TAES_LNC005700)
Source: RNAcentral
CUCCUAGUUGGCCAACGGCAGCGGCGGUGUGGAAUUUUAGGCCGGCGGCGGCGGUGCGUUUUUUCAGGCCGCCGGUGCGGAUUUUCGGGCCGGCGAUGGGGGUGCGGAUUUUUCAGCCCGCCGGCGGCGGUGCGGAUUUGGUGGCGGCCCCCAGAUGUAGCUGAGAUGGGCGGCAAGGCCAAUCCGCUCGAGUAGGAGGAGGAGCUAGAAAUAAUCGCAGGUGUUGAAUCUCUCCACCCUCUCUCUGUCUCAGUAGUUUGUAGGGUAGUGUAGUGAAAAUAAAAGUGAGAUGUUCUUGAUUUUCAGGACGAUGUGCUCCCCGAGUUUGAUUUUCGGCUGUCGCUGUACCAGUUUAAUCCCAGCUACAAUGGAAUGGAGUGGAACGUAGAAGGUUGCUGAGAAGGAUGGGCACAAAAUGGAGAAGAAGAUAAUGAAGGAUGAACAAGAAGAGGCUGGACUGUAGGGAUAGGAUGCUUUUCUUUGCUGCUAUCAUGAUUUUUGGCUUUGGAAUGUAAUGGAUGGCGGGGUAGUAUUGUUUCUUGUACUGGAUGCCAUUUUCAGUUUCUUGUCAUGAAUGUUAAGAAUGUUGAAUGGAAAUGUUGCUUCAGUUUCUUGUAUUGGAUGUCUUUUGCCUCUGUUUUGUUUCAGGUUUUGUUUGCACAAAUUAACAGGACAAAG